This 852-nucleotide ribosomal RNA is filed under the name uncultured bacterium. Its description in RNAcentral is "bacterial SSU rRNA". It matches the Rfam family "Bacterial small subunit ribosomal RNA", at positions 100 to 949 of the family's 1533-position model. The record is from RNAcentral.
GAACGGGUGAGUAAUACAUAAAUAAUCUACCAUAAUGACUGGGAUAACCAAUGGAAACGCUGGCUAAUACCGGAUAGGUAAAACGAGGGCAUCUUUGUUUUAUUAAAGUAGGGCUACUACACAAUAUGAUGAGUUUAUGGCGCAUUAGCUAGUUGGUGAGGUAACGGCUCACCAAGGCGAUGAUGCGUAGCCGACCUGAGAGGGUGACCGGCCACACUGGGACUGAGACACGGCCCAGACUCCUACGGGAGGCAGCAGUAGGGAAUUUUCGGCAAUGGGCGCAAGCCUGACCGAGCAACGCCGCGUGAGUGAAGAAGGCCUUCGGGUUGUAAAGCUCUGUUGUAAGGGAAGAACACUUUUUAGAGGAAAUGCUAGAGAGCUGACGGUACCUUACCAGAAAGCCACGGCUAACUACGUGCCAGCAGCCGCGGUAAUACGUAGGUGGCGAGCGUUAUCCGGAAUUAUUGGGCGUAAAGGGUGCGUAGGCGGUUUAUUAAGUCUGUGGUGAAAGUGCGGGGCUCAACCCCGUAUGGCCACAGAAACUGAUAGACUAGAGUACAGGAGAGGGCAGUGGAAUUCCAUGUGUAGCGGUAAAAUGCGUAGAUAUAUGGAGGAACACCGGUGGCGAAGGCGGCUGCCUGGCCUGUAACUGACGCUGAGGCACGAAAGCGUGGGGAGCAAAUAGGAUUAGAUACCCUAGUAGUCCACGCUGUAAACGAUGAUUACUAAGUGUUGGAGAAAUUCAGUGCUGCAGUUAACGCAAUAAGUAAUCCGCCUGGGGAGUAUGCACGCAAGUGUGAAACUCAAAGGAAUUGACGGGACCCCGCACAAGCGGUGGAGUAUGUGGUUUAA